UUUGCAAGUAUUAGGUGUAAAGAAGCAAUUUGGAGAAAAUGCUCUUUAAAAUACCAAAAAGUGCCAAAAUUGAAAAAGCCACCUUCGACAGCUCUUUCGGCGGCCGAACCUUCGGUCCAGAGGCGAAACUCAACCUCCUUCGGAAGCACUUUGGGGAGCCAAAACUGCCAGUCAUCUUCGGCGGCACUUUCGGCGGCCGAACCUUCACUCCAGAGACGAAAGUCACCUUCCUUCGGCGGCACCUUCGGUCGCCGAACCUUGCGUUCAGAGCCGAAAGUCCUGCCUCCGAAACUUAACUUAGGCGGCCGAAAGUGCCCCCGAACAGCCUCCUUCCUAUUCAAUGAGCCAAAUCUUGGAGAUCACAUGUUUCCUACAUAGUGCCAUGCUCAUUCAAAAUUCAAAUCAAGGCUCCACCUUCCUCAUUAGUGCAUAAAUCUUCUUGGACACACCAUGAACAGCAAUUAAAGGACCAAAAUGCCCAACCCUUGCCCUCACAUGCACACAUAAGGCCAAGGGCACUUUGGGCAAAUCUCUAAAAGACCUCUCAAGAUCUAUUUAAAGGCUUCAAGAAGAUCAAGAACUCAUCAUCUCCCAUCAAGGAUUGAUCAAGAAUUCGGCAAGGCUUCUCCUAGGCCUCCUCCACCUUAGUUCUUCAUCUUUUUGCUUUCUUUUCUUUGAUUUUCUGUUUUGGUUCAGCCAUGAGUGGCUAAAACCCCUUACUCUAGUUGAAGUUUGGUUGAAACUAAGGUUGUUUAAAGGGUUGUGAGAUCUGAACAUAAAGUGUUUGCUUUUGAUUUAUUCAAUAUUCAUGCAAUUGUGCUUAAUUCUAAGAUUGCUUUGUUGUUUUGAUCAAAUUGGCCACUUGAUUCUUGAUUGCAAAGUUAAUUGAUUGUUGGAUUAGGAUAUUUGUUAGUCCGUAAUUGCUGAAAAUAUUCUGUCCAUAGAACACUUAGUGUAAAAACCCAAGAAAUUGUAUGAUCUAGCAACAUCUUAUGCGUUUGAGUAGCUAGGGUUUGGAUCUUUCUUGUUCUUCAUGCAAUUGGCAAUUGUUUUGAUGCCUUUGGCCCAAGGAAGUUCCUUGGCAAUUUGUUGAUUAGUAAUUGGUUAGAGGACGUUCCCUAAUCAGUUUGUUCAUAAGGAAAGACAUGGUAGUGAGAAGCGUCUUCCACCCCCAUAACCAACCUAUUGAAUCAAUCAAGAUAACCAUGUUUCAAUGAUCAACCCAAACAACCAAAGUGGAUCCAUAUCUUCAACUAGACUUCUCUCAUAUUGAUUUCUUCUUUUAUUUUAAUUACUUGCUGUUUUAAUUGCUUUCAAUAGUCGUUAGACAAAUCAAUCUCAAAACCCCCUUUUUACUUUCCUUGCACUUUACUUUUGUUCUAUUUGCGAUUACUUACUUUCUACUGUGUUUUCAAUUAGUUUCCUUAGUCUUGAUUGAGAAAAAAUAAAUAGGUAAUCAAUUCUCUGUGGAUUCGAUCCUUCACCACUAUCUACAGUUGUAAAUUGUUGAUAACCAAGAAGGUUAUUUUUGACCGGCUUCGACAACCGACAGUCAAAAAUUGGCGCCGUUGCCGGGAAAUUGAUCUCACUUGUUUAUUUAUUUUUCUUUCAUGACCAGGUCUGAGCAUAGGGACACUCUGCCCUUUAAUCCAGAAAUUGAACGCACCCUCAGAAGGCUAGGAAAGCAAGCCUCUACGCCUGAAGAACAUUCUGCCCAACCUUCGGCCGCCGAAAGUCCUUCUCUCCAGCAACCGAACUUUGCACCGAUGGCAGAACCUCAAGCACCAGCUGCUGCCCCCAAUGGACAAGCUGUCCAGAAUCAAAUAGUUCAAGAAAAUCCAGCAAUAAGACCUCAAGUGCCAAGGGAAAGAACUAUGAGAGAGUUAGCAACACCUAUAGGUGAUCAAGCGCCUCUUUGCAUCACCUAUCCACCUCUUACAGUUCCCUUUGAACUCAAGACAGGUUUGAUACAUCUACUCCCUAAAUUUGGAGAUAGAGAGAAUGAAAAUCCACACAAGCACUUAAAAGAAUUUAGUAUUGUUUGUUCAUCCGUGAGACCUCAAGGGAUCUCUGAAGAUCAUGUUAAAUUGAGAGCUUUUCCCUUUUCAUUAGAUGACUAUGCUAAGGAUUGGUUAUUUUAUUUGCCACCUGGAUCUAUAACUUCUUGGGAUGAUAUGGUCCAAACCUUCUUGGACAAGUACUUCCCACCAUCUAAAUCAAUAGGCAUAAUAAGAGAAAUCACUAGCAUACGACAAAAACAAAAUGAGGACUUAUAUACAGUUCUUCUAUGGAGGAUUGAUUCCAUCAGAAAUGAAACUCAUAAAUGUAGCUUUUGGAGGAUCCAUCCUAGACAAGUCACCAAGGGAGAUGAAAGAGUUGAUAUCUACUCUUGCAGCCUCAUCUAGGCAGUAUGGAGAAGAGAGGCAACUACAAAGGGCAAAUGAGGUAAGUUUUCCCACUAUUUCUGAACUAACAUCUGUUAUGAAAAAUAUUAUCAUAGAUGUUGUGCAACAGAUGCAAACACCCCAGCCACCUAGGCCAUGUGGGAUUUGCUCAUAUGUAGGACACCCGACUGAUCAAUGUCCUACACUCUAAGAAGACCACUAGCAAGCAAAUGCCAUUGGAGGGUACCAUAACCAGCCUAGACAUGAUCCGUACUCAAACACUUACAAUCCUGGCUGGAGAGACCAUCCCAAUUUCAGCUAUGGAAGGGCCAACAAUACCCAGAACUACCAAAGAAAUCAAGCCCAACCAGCACCUCAGAACUCUAAUCCGAGCCUUGAGAAGAUGAUGGAGACACUGAUAAGCACCAUGCAAGGCGUGCGACAAGACCUAGGACAAAUGGCCACCUCUAUAAGCUAACUGCAAACCCAAGGCAAACUACCUUCUCAAACUGAAACUAACCCAAGACAGAAUGUCAGUGCUAUUACUUUGAGAAGUGGCAAAGAGCUUCAAGAUGCUAGUCAUGAGUAAGAGAAGGAAGUUGCACCAAAGACACCUCCUGCGCAAGAACCAAUGCAACCUGAAGCCUCUCCAUCACAAUCUGAACCACCUCCUGCGCACAAAACUGAUCCAAAAGUAAGUUUUCACAUUCCACUUCCUUUUCCAAAAAGAUUUGAAAGAACGCAAAAAGAAAAAGAAGAAAAGGAGAUCCUUGAGACUUUCAGAAAAGUGGAAAUCAACAUACCACUGCUAGAUGCUGUCAAGCAGAUCCCCAGGUAUGCAAAAUUUCUGAAAGAGCUUUGCACCAAUAGAAGAAAGCUUGCUAAAAGAGAAAAAGUAAGUGUAGGUGAGGUAGUUACUACUGUUAUUAAAAGAGAACUCCCUACCAAAUGCAAGGACAAAGGUAUGUUUGCUAUCUCUUGCAAAAUUGGUAAUGUUGGUAUCAAGAAAGCCAUGUGUGAUUUAGGUGCAUCUAUCAAUGUCAUGCCUCUCUCCAUCUAUAGAUCUCUAAAUGCAUGUGCACUUAAGGAAACAAGAGUUGUGAUAUAGCUAGCUGAUAGAUCUGUGGUAUAUCCCAUAGGUGUUCUAGAAGAUGUCUUAGUCCAAGUAGAUGAACUUGUCUUUCCUGCUGAUUUUUAUGUAAUUGAUACUAAGGAAGAUAGUUGCAAUACUAGUUCUGACAUUCUUCUUGGACGUCCUUUCUUGAGUACCGCUAGGACUAAAAUCGAUGUGCAUGAUGGUACUCUUACCAUGGAAUUUGAAGGGAAAGUCAUUAAGUACAAUGUCUAUGAUGCUAUGAAAUACCCACAUGAUAUGUCCCCAGUUUAUGGUCUUGAUAUUAUUGAUUGUUUAAGCCAAGAUGUGUUUAAUGAAAAUCAAGAUUGUAUUUUGGAGGAUGAUCUUUGCAGGAUUGAAAACCUGAAACUGAAAGAAACCAUUUGCAGCAUUCAGCAAGUAGAGGUAAAGCAGACAGAAGGCAUUCGGCCGCCGAACACAGCCCACCUUCGGCCGCCGAACCCCGCUGCUCUUCAGACACCAGAUUCUGUUGCACCACUUUUGCAACACAUUGCGCAGAAGAAAGACGUCCUUCAGCCGCCGAACCCAAGCGAUUUUCAGAAGUCGAAUCCAUCGCCACAGUUCACUUCGCAAAGUGAAGACCUUCGGCCGCCGAACUCAGACACUUUUCGGCCGCCGAACCUCUCACAGCAGCUUCCAUCACAAGCAAACUCUUCCAUCCCACCUCCUUUGCAGUCAAGACCAGAAUAGUACCUUCCAGAUUCUGAAGAGAGUAAGCACGAUCUCCUUGAAAAAAUCUUUCUUGCUCAAUCUGAUGAGCCAUGGUAAGCAGAUAUGGUAAACUACUUGGCCACAGGUAACUUACCUUCUGACAUGCCAAAGCACACUAAAGAUAAGAUAAAAAAAAGAUGCCAAAUACUAUGUUUGGAAUGAGCCAUAUUUGUGGAAAUAUUGUGCUGACCAAAUGAUAAGGAAAUGCAUUCCUGAUCAAGAAAUAGCCUCUGUACUCACUUUUUAUCAUUCAUAUAGUUGUGGAGGACACUUUGAUCCAAGGAAAACUGCUCAUAAGAUACUUGAAAGUGGCCUAUUUUGGCCCAUAAUAUUUCGAGAUGCCUUUUUGUUUUGCAGGUCAUGUGCUAGGUGUCAACAAACUGGAAAUCUGAGUAGAAGAAAUCAAAUGCCACAUAACCCCAUCAUGGUCUGUGAGGUAUUUGAUGUUUGGGGCAUAGACUUCAUGGGCCCAUUCCCACCAUCCUUUGGAUACACUUAUAUCAUCCUUGCAGUGGAUUAUGUGUCCAAAUGGGUGGAAGCUAGAGCAACUAAGACCGAUGAUGCCAAAGCAGUAGUAAACUUUGUGAAGACCAACAUCUUUGCCAGACAUGGAGUAUCAAAAGCAAUCAUCAGUGAUAGAGGGACCCAUUUUUGCAAUAGGGUGGUGGAAAGCCUUCUCAGAAAACACAAUGUCAUACAUAGGAUAUCCACAGCCUACCACCCUCAAACAAAUGGGCAAGUUGAAGUCUCCAAUAGAGAAAUCAAAGCCAUCCUUGAAAAGACAGUCUCCCCAAACCGAAAGGAUUGGAGUACAAGGUUAGAAGAUGCUCUAUGGGCCUACAGAAUAGCCUACAAGACCCCCAUAGUAUGUCUCCCUACAGAUUGGUCUAUGGGAAAGCUUGUCACCUUCCAGUUGAACUUGAGCACAAAGCCCAUUGGGCUGUGAAGAAUUGCAACUUGGACCUCAAAGAAGCUGGCCACCAUCGCAAGUUGCAACUGCAAGAUCUAGAGGAAAUAAGACGAGAUGCAUAUGAGAAUUCAUGGAACUACAAAACAAAAACCAAAGCCUCACAUGACAAUCAUCUUUCAAGAAAAUAAUUUGAGGCUGGUGAUAAAGUCUUACUCUUUGACUCUCAUUUGAAGUUGUUUCCAGGGAAGCUACGGUCUAGGUGGAUUGGACCAUUCAUUGUAUAACAUUGAUAGAGCAUAAUUUAGUCCAUUUUAUAUUAAUAUUAUUAAUAAAUAUUUACAUGAUUUCUGCCUAAUUUAGUGUUUUCAAUAUUAUUUUGCAGAAAAUAGUGUAAAAGGACAAUUUGGAGAAAAUCUCCCUAAAACUGCCUUAUUAGAGCAAAGAAUGAGGAAAGGAUUUUGAAGCUUAAAUAUUCAAGUUUCUGGGCCCACUUAUGGAUCAGCCCAUUCCCACACCACUCAGCCCAAACGCUUCACGGGACAACUCCAGCACAUGGGCCCGCCAUUGCACCUCAGCAAAUCUCCCGCACCUUCACGCACUUGGGCACCCCCUUUUCCUGCAAAGAACCAAGCGUGCAAGUCCACCAUUCCCUCCAGUGGACCAGUCCACGCACAAUCAAGCACAUGGACAAAGCCCAGCGCAUGGACCCGCCGAAGCUCCUCUCUGCACGUGGACCGCUUCAUCCACUCCAGCACCCAACACUCACGCGGCCCGCUUCUCCAAAUUCACUUCACGUGGACCACAUUCCCACUUCACCCAUUCUUGCACAAUGGCCCAACUUCACCACUCCAGCACAUGGUCCCGCCAAGGCAUAUGGACCAAGCAGCGGACAGCACAUGGACCUUUCACUUGCAACAGGGCCCGCCACUCAUGCCCCAUUUCAACCCACGCAUAUGGACCGCACAGCGUGGGCCCGCGCUUCAUCAUUGUCUUCACGUGGACCAUGGACCAUGGACCAGCGCUUUUUCUCAAAGUUCACGCGAACCACUCACACUAAUUCUUCCACUUCAGCGCUCUCACACGUGGACGGCAAAUUCCCAAUUAGGGCGUCUCUCCAGCUCUAUUUAAAGAGCUUUAAGCAGCCAGAAAGAGAAUUCAAUUCUCACUCGGCAAUUUCGGUGCUCGGCGCAAAAGGCAGAAUCUCCAUCGGUUUUUUUCCUUUUCUUUUCCUUUUAAUUUUCUGUUUUUAAUUCAGCCAAUGAGUGACUGAUUUCUUUAAUUCUAGUUGAGGAUUGGUUGAAACUAAGGUUGUUUAAUGGAUUGUGAGAUCUGAACAUAAAUUAUUGUCUUUGGUUUUGUUCAAUAUUUAUGCAAUUAAUGCUUUAAUUAUAUGAUUACUUUGUUGUUUUGAUCAAAUUGGCCACUUGAUNNNNNNNNNNNNNNNNNNNNNNNNNNNNNNNNNNNNNNNNNNNNNNNNNNNNNNNNNNNNNNNNNNNNNNNNNNNNNNNNNNNNNNNNNNNNNNNNNNNNNNNNNNNNNNNNNNNNNNNNNNNNNNNNNNNNNNNNNNNNNNNNNNNNNNNNNCAAACCCCCCCAUUUUACUUUUAUUGCAAUUUAUUUUUAUUCUGUUUCCAGUUUAUCUCAUUUGAUCCCACUUUCAGUCUUUUAUCUCAUCUUUAAUUUAUUAUUGUUUUAGUUUAUUUUAUUGGUCUUGUUAAGAAAAAUAAAUAGGUAAUCAAUUCUCUGUGGAUUCGAUCCUUUCACCAAUAUCUGCAGUUGUAAAAUUGUUGAUAACCAGAAAGGUUAUUUUUGACCGGCCUCGAAAACCGCGAGUCAAACAUGCCUACCCACAUGGAGCUGUAGACAUCAAAAGCAUAGAAACUGGAAAAAUCUUCAAAGUAAAUGGACAUCGUCUGAAGCCAUACUUUGAAGGAUUCGCAGUACAAGUAGUGGAAGAAAUUCCACUACAACAGCAUUCUGCCUAAAGAAAUCAUGCCAUGCACACCACACCCCAGGGGAGUAUUCAAAUUCCUUUGUUCUCUUUUUUCUUUUACAUUGAGGACAAUGCAUGAUUUAAGUGUGGGGGUGCAUAUCUUCUUCUUUCUUCUUCCCUUCUCUUCAUCUUCUUCCUUUAUCUUCUGCGAUUUUACAUGCUUUCAGAUUGCAAAAUUUUUUUUUUCUCCUUUCAGUCUUGCAUUUCUUUCAGUUAAUUAGCCACAGUUGAAUUUUAAUUUGUUUAACCUUUCAAUAAAACACACACAACCACAACCUUCUUCUUCUUUUUUUGUUUUGCUCUACUCAAACUGAUGAACUAUGUUAGAUGAGUCCUUCUUUCCAUGACUCCAUUGAUGUGAUAACUCUUUAAACUUAUGUUGAAUCAAUUGCAGUGAGCUAUAUUCAUGUUUGAGAAUUGCCUUUUGAAUUGAAUCUUUGAGUUUGCUAUGAUGAAAAAUAUAUUGAUGACCCUCAAUUGAUUGAGAAUAAAUUGAAAUUGUGUGAAUGAACCUAAUGUGACUUGAUUUAGCAAUUGGUGUUGAUUUGCCCAAAUCAUUGAAAGAAAGAAAAUUCAGCAAAGGCAAAGACCUCAAAAGCACAAAUUCAAAAACUGUUCCAAUGGUCAAAAGACUAGGAACAAGGCUAGUAGCCACUUGGAUAGGUGACCAACUGAAAAAUAUAAACCAUGACAUCAAAAAUAGGUUGGUGACCUUUCCAAGCAAAAUCAAAGUGCAAAAGCCUGAAUAAAGUACUUCAAGGUAAGGGCAAGUCAAUCCAAAAGCUAGAAAAAGUCUUAACAAAUUAAUGUGCAUGUCUCUCUUGAGGAAAACAAAUCUUAGCCAUGGUAAGCAAAGGGAAACAAGGAAAGGGGGUAAGUAAUCUUCAUGCACAUAUUCUUCACUGCAAUGCUUCAAAAUAAGUGUCUAGAGUAUGAGCUAAAGUGGUAAUAAGGAUCUAGAGGAAGAAAACUUAUUUGACUAUGUUUAUUUGCUUGAGGACAAGCAAAAGCUUAAGUGUGGGGGUAUUUGAUAGAGCAUAUUUUAGCCCAAUUUAUCCUCAUGUUCUUGAUGUUUAUUUACACCUAUUCUACCUAAUUUUUUGGUUUUCAACAUGUUUUGCAAGUAUUAGGUGUAAAGAAGCAAUUUGGAGAAAAUGCUCUUAAAAAUACCAAAAAGUGCCAAAAUUAGAAAAGCCAACUUCGGCAGCUCUUUCGGCGGCCGAACCUUCGGUCCAGAGGCAAAACUCAACCUCCUUUGGAAGCACUUUCGGGAGCCAAAUUUGCCAGUCAUCUUCGGCGGCACUUUCGGCGCCCGAACCUUCACUCCAGAGACGAAAGUCACCUUCCUUCGGCGGCACCUUCGGCCGCCGAACCUUGCGUCCAGAGCCGAAAGUCCUGCCUCUGAAACUUAACUUAGGCGGCCGAAAGUGCCCCCGAACAGCCUCCUUCCUAUUCAAUGAGCCAAAUCUUGGAGAUCACAUGUUUCCUACAUAGUGCCAUGCUCAUUCAAAAUUCAAAUCAAGGCUCCACCUUCCUCAUUAGUGUAUAAAUCUUCUUGGACACACCAUGGACAGCAAUUAAAGGACCAAAAUGCCCAACCCUUGCCCUCACAUGCACACAUAAGGCCAAGGGCACUUUGGGCAAAUCUCUAAAAGAUGCAUGGACAGCCACCAAACCCUAAGGAGCCUCUCAAGAUCUAUUUAAAGGCUUCAAGAAGAUCAAGAACUCAUCAUCUCCCAUCAAGGAUUGAUCAAGAAUUCGGCAAGGCUUCUCCUAGGCCUCCUCCACCUUAGUUCUUCAUCUUUUUGCUUUCUUUUCUUUGAUUUUCUGUUUUGGUUCAGCGAUGAGUGGCUGAAACCCCUUACUCUAGUUGAAGUUUGGUUGAAACUAAGGUUGUUUAAAGGGUUGUGGGAUCUGAACAUAAAGUGUUUGCUUUUGAUUUAUUCAAUAUUCAUGCAAUUGUGCUUAAUUCUAAGAUUGC
Molecule: long non-coding RNA, 9112 nt
Filed under: Manihot esculenta (cassava)
Lineage: Eukaryota; Viridiplantae; Streptophyta; Magnoliopsida; Malpighiales; Euphorbiaceae
Description: long non-coding RNA (MESC_LNC002928)
Source: RNAcentral